This 496-nucleotide ribosomal RNA is filed under the name uncultured bacterium. RNAcentral describes it as "partial 16S ribosomal RNA". It matches the Rfam family "Bacterial small subunit ribosomal RNA", at positions 28 to 506 of the family's 1533-position model. The record is from RNAcentral.
GAUGAACGCUGGCGGCGUGCCUAAUACAUGCAAGUCGAGCGAACGGACGAGAAGCUUGCUUUUCUGAUGUUAGCGGCGGACGGGUGAGUAACACGUGGAUAACCUACCUAUAAGACUGGGAUAACUUCGGGAAACCGGAGCUAAUACCGGAUAAUAUUUUGAACCGCAUGGUUCAAAAGUGAAAGACGGUCUUGCUGUCACUUAUAGAUGGAUCCGCGCUGCAUUAGCUAGUUGGUAAGGUAACGGCUUACCAAGGCAACGAUGCAUAGCCGACCUGAGAGGGUGAUCGGCCACAAUGGAACUGAGACACGGUCCAGACUCCUACGGGAGGCAGCAGUAGGGAAUCUUCCGCAAUGGGCGAAAGCCUGACGGAGCAACGCCGCGUGAGUGAUGAAGGUCUUCGGAUCGUAAAACUCUGUUAUUAGGGAAGAACAUAUGUGUAAGUAACUGUGCACAUCUUGACGGUACCUAAGCAGAAAGCCACGGCUAACUACGU